CUUGUUCUCCACAGAAAGAUGAGAGGAAGGUGAUCUCUCACACUGUGUUCUUUUUCUUUCUUUCUUUAGUGAAAGAAUAUGACCAGCCUCCUCCAGGCUUGAAUUCUCCCAGUGCCUGUAUGGCUGGUUCGGGAACCGAGGAAAACAGUACAGUUUUCCUAAGUCCAAAGGAAACUGAACCCAUAGCCAGAGCUUCUGAUUUUGACAUUCUGCCUCCCUGCCUGGGAUUGAGUGUGUGCGGGCGCUGGAUUCCCUGCUGCCCUACAGAGGUGAACUGGACCACUAGAUUGGCCUCCAGAGGAACCCAGGCCAGGUCUGGAAAUGGGUCAACAGCACCAAAUUGGUCCAUUAGUUUGAAAUACAAGGAGGCAGAGACUGGGCUUUUCUGGACGAAAACCUUGCAGUCAGCAGCUCAAGGUGCAGCACUCCGAGAAGAUGGAUCUGCAGUAAAUUCGAUGCCCCAAGUAGGGAAAGGAGUGUGCAGUUGGAGGGGUGUCGUGAACUCAAGGGACUGAGAGACCAGAUGGGGUAAAGCCUUGUUCUGGUCCCUCCAUGGCCUCCACACAGGGGUCAGCACCACCAUGUUGCACGACGACACUUGACAGAAUUACCAGACUUAGUGACGGACUGUCAUAAAUAUAAAGGGAAGGGUAUACCUUUCUGUAUACAGAACUAUAAAAUCCCU
This is a long non-coding RNA of Chelonia mydas (Green sea turtle), 685 nucleotides long. RefSeq lists it as uncharacterized. The transcript has 3 exons. The record is from RefSeq and is a predicted model, not a curated record. NCBI's taxonomy places the organism in Eukaryota, Metazoa, Chordata, Testudines, Cheloniidae.